Molecule: RNA transcript, 2926 nt
Organism: Oenanthe melanoleuca
Lineage: Eukaryota; Metazoa; Chordata; Aves; Passeriformes; Muscicapidae
Gene: EPHX1
Gene name: epoxide hydrolase 1
Exons: 11
Source: RefSeq, a predicted model, not a curated record
CAAGGUGUCUGCCCUUAUGCUAUUCACUUUUUAUUCUGUAUAUGUGUCUUGCUUUUCUUUCCCUCUGAAUCUUCAGCAGUAGAUGUGCAUUAUGCUGCUGGAGGUGCUCCUGGUCCUGGGGACACUCCUCAUCUACUUCUUAUUUUCCAAGAAGAAAGAAGAGACACUGCCCUUCAAAGAUGGGUGGUGGGGCAGGGGACAAAAGCCUGUGACUAAAGAAGACUCAAGUAUUCGGCCAUUUAAGGUGGAGACUACAGAGGAAGAGCUGAGUGAUUUAUUUAGGAGACUUGACCAGGCUCGAUUCACUGAGCCACUGGAGAACAGCUGCUUCCAUUAUGGAACUAACUCAGUGCAUCUCAGGAAGAUUGUGUCCUACUGGAAAAACCAGUUCAAUUGGAAGAAACAAGUUGAAGUCCUCAACAAGUACCCACAAUUCAAAACAAAGAUUCAAGGCCUUGAUAUCCAUUUUGUUCAUGUCAAGCCUCCUCGUUUGCCCGAGGGCCAGGCUGCAAAGCCACUGUUAAUGGUUCAUGGUUGGCCUGGCUCAUUUUACGAGUUUUACAAAAUUAUCCCUCUCCUAACGGAUCCUGCAAGCCAUGGCCUUGGUGAAGAGCACGUUUUUGAAGUCAUUUGCCCAUCUAUCCCUGGUUAUGGUUUCUCAGAAGCACCCCACAAAAAAGACUUCAACUCUGUGAGUGCUGCUUCUGUUUUUUAUGAAUUGAUGCUCAGACUUGGAUUCAAUGAGUUCUACAUCCAGGGUGGUGACUGGGGCUGGCUCAUCUGCACCAACCUGGCCCAGAUAGCUCCCAACCAUGUGAAAGGUCUCCAUUUAAACAUGGUCUCGGUUUCGAAGCUGGGACUCACUCACCUGCUCUCCGUCCUGCUGGGCCGCUACUUCCCAGGGCUCUUCGGAUUCCAGGAUGAAGAUGUCAGGAGGAUGUUCCCUUUCCUGAAAAAAGGGCUCUACAGGAUCUUGUCUGAGUCUGGCUAUGCUCACAUACAGGCUACAAAGCCAGACACUGUUGGCUGUGGCUUGAAUGACUCUCCUGUGGGACUGGCUGCAUACAUCUUGGAGAAGUUUUCUUCAUGGACUGAUAUGGAAUUCCAGAAUCUAGAGGAUGGAGGACUAGAGAGGAAGUUCAGCAUGGAUGAUCUGCUCACCAAUAUCAUGAUCUACUGGGUGUCAGGCUGCAUUGUCUCCUCCAUGCGUUUCUACAAAGAAAACUUGCAGAAGGGGAUAGGCACACAGAAACAUGAAAAGCUCACAGUACAGGUACCCACUGGUAUUGCCUCCUUCCCCAAUGAAAUCCUGCACACACCCCAGGCUUGGGCCAAGAAGAAAUACACCAACAUUGUCUCCUUCCACUUCAUGCCUCGAGGUGGCCAUUUUGCAGCUUUUGAGGAACCUGAGCUUCUUGCUAAAGAUAUUCUGCAAUUUGUUGACAAAGUAGAGAAAGAGCAACUCUGGAAGAAGAAAGGGGAAUAACUUCCCUAAGAAACAGCAGGCAGGAAUUGGCUCACCUCUGACAAGAACAGCUGCUACAGGCACCAUUCCACAGCCUCCUGCACAAAUCUGUCCUGCCCUGCUCUGCUCACCAGAUUUUGAUUCCUCAUCUCAAAAGGGAGUGAAUUCUUCCUAUUUUAGGAACAUUUUUGUAAUUACAGAUUUAAAACAUAAAAGAACAAGAAAACCCUACUUCAUUCUCUAAAUCUAGAAUCCUAUCAUAAAGUAUUUCAAUGCCUGCAACCAAAUUGUGGUAUUUAGCAAUUCUUUAAAUCACUUGUUUUUCAAUUUUCAUCCAUGGAGAUAGCUGCUGGUUUUAUUUAUCUGUGUCUGUAGAUGGAGGGGGGAAAAUACUGAUAAUUUGCUUAGAAAAAAAACCCUUUGUAGAAUUCCAAGUAAGUUUUGACAUGGAACAUCUUCACUUGAGAGAAGCAACUCAGUGCUUUUCAUUUCAGGAGAGCAGGCUAUAAAAAAGCCAAUCAGUCUGAAAAUCCAAGCAUAAACCAGCACCAAAUGCAUGAAAGAUUUUCAUACAGAAGGGAGGCCAGCUGUGUAUAAAAAUACAUCUCUCUUAAAUUUCCUCAGCUCUCAGUCUUCCUCCUGUACUGCAACUUUUUUUUUUUUUUUUAAAUUUCAAUGAACAUACAAAAAGGCAACAGAUAGGUACCUUUCAAAACCUAACUUCUAUCACAAACUUUCACCCUUUUGUGCCAUUGCAUAAAAAUCACACAGCAGUAAUGAUGAGACAGCAACAAAAUCUGGCUCCUGCUUUAUUUAGGAGCACCUUAUGACAUACAAUACAUUGGACUUCUAGAACUCAAUCUUCAGCAUCAUUUCUGAGAAGAGUGCUUUCAUUAAUUAUUAACCAGCACUUAGUUAACCACUGAGUCUGGGAGCAGAUACAAAAAUUUGCUUCUCUCCUUCUUGGUUAUUUACAGUCCCACCCAUUUCCAUUUGAAUUUGUAUUGGCUGCAGCUGAGAUGCUCCAUUCUAACCAACAGGAUGUGGGAUACCAAGCAAAUGCCAAGACUUCACCCAAGAACCAAAAAAUUAUAGGGAAGAAUGUUCCAUUAUAAUGACCCAAUCUUCAGUCUCUCUACUUUUAGUUGUUUCCUUUCUGUUUUUAUCCUUCAGACAGCUGUUCUCAGAAAGAAAAAAAAAACUACUUCUGUAUUUCUGAAGUAUCUGAAACAGACACUUGCAGCUGUUACAGACAGGUGACAAGCAGAAUCCUUCAAGAAGUCUUGUCUAGAUAAGACAAAGAAGGAAUUUGCAAGAGCACUUUCAGAUAAGUCACAUGGCCAUUAUUUGGAAUUCAAAGUGUGCAUUUCCUUAUGUCGUUGCAGUUUUGAGACAAUAAAGGGUGUUUUUUCUUUGUAGUCAAUAGACUUGGGAUAAAGCUCCUUUAUCCCCAAAUCUUCU